GACGAACGCUGGCGGCGUGCUUAACACAUGCAAGUCGAACGGAAAGGCCUCUUUCGGGGGGUACUCGAGUGGCGAACGGGUGAGUAACACGUGAGUAACCUGCCCUUGACUUUGGGAUAACUUCAGGAAACUGGGGCUAAUACCGGAUAGGAGCUCCUGCUGCAUGGUGGGGGUUGGAGAGUUUCGGCGGUUGGGGAUGGACUCGCGGCUUAUCAGCUUGUUGGUGGGGUAGUGGCUUACCAAGGCUUUGACGGGUAGCCGGCCUGAGAGGGUGGCCGGCCACAUUGGGACUGAGAUACGGCCCAGACUCCUACGGGAGGCAGCAGUGGGGAAUAUUGCACAAUGGGUGGAAGCCUGAUGCAGCAACGCCGUGUGCGGGAUGACGGCCUUCGGGUUGUAAACCGCUUUCGCUCAUGACGAAGCUUUGUGUGACGGUAGUGGGUAAAGAAGCACCGGCUAACUACGUG
This 467-nucleotide ribosomal RNA is filed under the name uncultured bacterium. RNAcentral's name for it is "partial 16S ribosomal RNA". It matches the Rfam family "Bacterial small subunit ribosomal RNA", at positions 28 to 507 of the family's 1533-position model. The record is from RNAcentral.